Molecule: long non-coding RNA, 2781 nt
Filed under: Triticum aestivum (bread wheat)
Lineage: Eukaryota; Viridiplantae; Streptophyta; Magnoliopsida; Poales; Poaceae
Description: long non-coding RNA (TAES_LNC002870)
Rfam family: MIR1120/MIR1122 microRNA precursor family (bases 2135-2260)
Source: RNAcentral
UGCGUGCGGCGGAUCUGCGGGUGGUGGUGGUCGUGGCCUUGCAUCGACCAUGGCCGCUUCCUCCUCUCCGUCGGCCACGACGACGCUACUCCACCCAGCGGACUCGGACGAUAUCAUGGUGAGUACUGAGUAGUGCGGCACCAGUUGGAGCGGCAGAGCACACCUGCGCAUCGUCACCACCAAGAACACGGCGGGGCAGCAGUCGAGCGGAUCCGCUUGCUCUCUGACGUCGUCCACGCCUAGUAGUCCAUGCUUGCCACCGCGCACAACUGCCUCGCCACCAAGGACGCGCGUCUGAUCCGUCGUCCAGAUGCAGUAUAGUACGCCAUUACCUACGACACCAUCAAGAACCACAGGUGCGUGUGCGUCAACCGGCCAACUCGCAUAGUGAUUACACUCCCCAGUCCCCACGCCUGUCGAUGUGCCUGCUGGUAUGGUCGGGUCGCCUUGGUCCUCUAGAAAAUUUGAUCUUGCUCUUCUUGCCUUGAUUGUUGGGGGUAGUGAUUGUUCAUAGCUGUGACUAGCGAAUCUUGUGGAAGAUUCCUGGUGGUAGUUAGGCCUGUAGAUGUGGAGUUUCACUGUUGUUUAUCUUGCAGUAUAUGAAGAUUUAGAGAUGCCAAAUGUAGAGUGUCCGUUGUGUAAGCUCUAAGGCUACUGUUACAACUUACAACAAUCUUUGGGAUACCAACGUCUGUAGUGGUACUUGUUUCUCGUGGUUGUCAUCAUAGCUAGCCUCUCCGGAUUGGGACAAUGGAAGAAUUAACCAUUGUAGUUGCCUUAAUAGUUCAGCUUCAGUUGAUUGCAGUUUUGAUAUUCAUAUAGCAUUUUACUAGCAGAACACGUGGCAUUGUUUAUUUACUUCUGAGUUUUCAUCCAAUCCCAGCAGACUAAGUUAUCUUUGGUGUCGAUACCGUGGAUAAAAUUAUGGAAACUUGUGCUUGAUUCUGUGCUAAAUUUUCAUGUUACCGGCGUGCCAAGAAUUAGCCUGCAAUUUCACUGUUGUGCAAGUUGUAAAAAAGUACCUACUACACUGUGAUUUGGUAUGGUGUUUGUCUUUUUUGCGAAUGUACCAUGAUCCAAUUAAAUUAACUUCGUUUGUCUUUCAUGUUUUAACGAAUACUAGUGGGUCAGUGACAAGAAAGCUCCAGACUCCUUGAAGUAUUUCGGUAGGAUAACUGAAUAAGAUGACAGGGUUCUGCAGUCCCUAUCUGUACAUUUACUUCGUGAAUGUAAUACUGCGAUUGGCUAUGCCUAAUAUAAGCUAUCCUUGCACUAAAAAAAUUAGGCCUGUUUUGUGCACCUUAAUAUAACAUUGACAUUGAGGUCACUGAAAGCACCUUACUCAACGCGGCCCCGAAAUCAGCCGCCAACGGGCAUGCAAAGAGAAGGUGACUCGCCAACCCUAGUGGGGCGUGGCAGAGCAUGCCACUGUUCCAUGCUAUAGAAUUGAGGUUGUAAUAAAAAAAGGUUAAUUUGCUUCUGAAUCAUGCUUUACAUUCUUUUGCAACCAAUCACUAGCAGUCUUGUGUCAGAUGUGUUGCUUGUUGGUUCAUGUAGACAUGCUAAUGAAAGGCUAAUAGAAAAAGAUAGAAAAAGACAGUGUUUCGGCUUGAUUGUCUUGUGUAGACUAAAAUUAAUGAGUAAAGAAAUUUUGAUUUUGCUUCGAGAUCCUUUCCUUGAGUUUGUUCCAGGCAUAAUGUUUUGUUCCUAUUUUAAUUGCAAUGAGUGACUUCCAGAGGCAACUAUUCCAUCUGAUGUUGAUGUGCAACAUCUUGAGUACCUUGAUUGGUUAUCCUACUGAUCCAAAUCUAUUCACAAGUAGUAGAUGGAUGCUUUAUAAUAUAAAGCGGGGGGAAACCCUUUAUCGUCAAAUCUAUUAUGACAAGUAGUAGAUGUAAUAAUUAGUUCUAGGAGAGUAUGCAUGUUAAAUUUGCUAUAUUUCAUUCUGUAAUACAAGCUGUAAUUGGUUGAUUAACCAUGUUCUGGAUGCAGAUAAUUUUGAGAUAGGAUAAUUCUUUCCGUGUGCAUAUAGGCUUUAUGUGAAUAAUCUCUGUAUCUUCAGUUCUCCUAUUUGGCUGAGUCCUCUAUGAUAAUUUUGAUUUAACUAAUUUAUCAGUCUUCUCAUGAGAGAAGAUUUGUACUCCCUCCGUCCAAAAAUACUUGUCAUUGAAAUGAAUGUAUCUAGAUGUAUUUUAGUUCAAAAUACAUUCAUUUUCAUCCAUUUUGAUGACAAAGUAAUUCCGGACGGAUGGAGUAUUUGGUUCAGCCAAAAAUUCUUACAUAUAUGAGAGAUUUAUUUACAUUUUAGGUAGCUCAGGUACCCUGAUAAUAGCAGGCUAAUAUUAUGGUGAUAUUAAUACAUUGGCAAAUUUGAACAGAACACGGUGUCAGGAUCUUUGACAGAACAGAGUUUUGCUGACAUGGUGUUUGAGGCUAUAAUUGAUGAGGUUUAACCCUGGAGAGCUGCAGGCUGCUUGUCUUCUUUCUGAAUCGCGUUCCUGCUAUUUUCUCCGGGCUGACCCUGUAAAGAAAUGAGGUUUAAUCGUGUAUUUAUGUCGGUAGUGAGGCUAUCAGCUUGCUCUUGGAGGCCAUGUAUAGAGUCCCAUCUAUGUUUUCUUGCGAGCUGACCCUGUAAAUUCCAGUUUUGUGUUUCUUAGAACCGAUACUGUAAAUUCUUCAGUGUAUUUUAAUGAAGUUUGGCAACUGUCCCUUUGAGAUAACAGUGUUCUUAUUAAAGAAUAGGUGUUUCCUUGAAAAAAAAAGAAGCAAUGUUGUGUUCAU